Molecule: long non-coding RNA, 409 nt
Organism: Sycon ciliatum
Lineage: Eukaryota; Metazoa; Porifera; Calcarea; Leucosolenida; Sycettidae
Exons: 3
Source: RefSeq, a predicted model, not a curated record
CGACACGCCACACAUUUCACGAUCCGAGGAUUGCCGCACUCGACCCGCGAAAUUUGAAGCGUGAUUGAAACGUCGUCGUCAUCUUCUUUUUCUCAAUUGUUUUUGCUAUAUGCUUCGAGGCUAUUCUGGAUCUCCAGAGCGAAAGCUGGUUGUUUCUAAUACGUACCACGCAUUACCUUAGGUUGAGCCGUGGCUUUUAAUUUUUUUUUGGAAGUUCACUGCUUUGGAGACGACGGAAUGUCAAGGAAAUGUAAGGCCGAGUCGCCUCACCGACUGAGCAAAGUUCUCUGCGACGAAAGUCACACUAUCGGCGAAUGCACUCAAGAGCUUCCGAGCCACGCCGAGUCACCUGACCAACUGAAGAAGGUUCUGUGCGACGAAAGUCACACUAUCGGCGAAUGCACUCAAG